UCUAAGAUUGGAUGAAGGAGUAUUAAGGCGUUGAAGACAGCACUUGUAAUUUGAAGGCAGCUUGUAUAUUGAUGUAAUUGCUCCAAAGGAGAGGAGUUUAUAUAUAUAAAAUUGUUACCCUUAUAUUUCAAACUUGAUUGAGUAUUUAGUGACAGCCAGAAGCCCAGCGCUUUCUUGAGGCAAACUCUCGCUACCCCGACACCGUAGUCAAUGAAAAUCCAUCUAGUAUUCCACGUGUCUCUUCUUGAACC
This 251-nucleotide long non-coding RNA is filed under the name Physcomitrium patens. Its description in RNAcentral is "long non-coding RNA (PPAT_LNC012150)". The record is from RNAcentral. Lineage: Eukaryota; Viridiplantae; Streptophyta; Bryopsida; Funariales; Funariaceae.